This 220-nucleotide long non-coding RNA is filed under the name Sorghum bicolor (sorghum). Its description in RNAcentral is "long non-coding RNA (SBIC_LNC017167)". Lineage: Eukaryota; Viridiplantae; Streptophyta; Magnoliopsida; Poales; Poaceae. The record is from RNAcentral.
ACGAGUGGACAGAAAAGGUUAAGAUCCAACUAACUAAUCACGUGUCACUAUUGGGGACGGAAAUAUUAGAGAGCUGUUGUAGUUGAAACUGAUUUUUAGGGUACAUUUGGUUUAAGAGGACCUCUAAUACUAAGUUUUGAAGGUUUACUUUUAAGGGAUCUCUUGGAGAUGCUCUAAAAGCCAAGCUGCGCAAGCCGCCUCUGGAAACCAUAAUGAUGAU